RNAcentral lists this antisense RNA (69 nucleotides) under Nonomuraea wenchangensis. RNAcentral's name for it is "Nonomuraea sp. 210417 ASpks TB sRNA". It matches the Rfam family "ASpks TB sRNA". The record is from Rfam by way of RNAcentral. Lineage: Bacteria; Bacillati; Actinomycetota; Actinomycetes; Streptosporangiales; Streptosporangiaceae.
CUUCACCGACCCCAGCCACAGCGGCGCCUGCCGGUCCUGGCCGUAGGCGGCCAACAGCGCCUGCGCCUC